Molecule: ribosomal RNA, 166 nt
Filed under: Olea europaea subsp. europaea
Lineage: Eukaryota; Viridiplantae; Streptophyta; Magnoliopsida; Lamiales; Oleaceae
Description: SSU_rRNA_bacteria
Rfam family: Bacterial small subunit ribosomal RNA
Source: RNAcentral
UCGAUGCACAGACCUGGGAUCAUGGGAUUUUAGCCAAAUUCCUUUGUUUAGGCCUCCGAAUAAUUAAACUCAAAAACCCAUUCUCAGUUCGGAUUGUAGGAUGCAACUUACCUGCAUGAAGCCAGAAUCGCUAUUAAUCACUGAUCAGCCAUAUAGUGAUGAAUUC